UUGAGCUUGAUCCCUGGCUCAGAUUGAACGCUGGCGGCAGGCCUAACACAUGCAAGUCGAGCGGAUGACAGGAGCUUGCUCCUGAAUUCAGCGGCGGACGGGUGAGUAAUGCCUAGGAAUCUGCCUGGUAGUGGGGGACAACGUUUCGAAAGGAACGCUAAUACCGCAUACGUCCUACGGGAGAAAGCAGGGGACCUUCGGGCCUUGCGCUAUCAGAUGAGCCUAGGUCGGAUUAGCUAGUUGGUGAGGUAAUGGCUCACCAAGGCGACGAUCCGUAACUGGUCUGAGAGGAUGAUCAGUCACACUGGAACUGAGACACGGUCCAGACUCCUACGGGAGGCAGCAGUGGGGAAUAUUGGACAAUGGGCGAAAGCCUGAUCCAGCCAUGCCGCGUGUGUGAAGAAGGUCUUCGGAUUGUAAAGCACUUUAAGUUGGGAGGAAGGGCAUUAACCUAAUACGUUAGUGUUUUGACGUUACCGACAGAAUAAGCACCGGCUAA
Molecule: ribosomal RNA, 499 nt
Filed under: Pseudomonas sp. CL1.142
Lineage: Bacteria; Pseudomonadati; Pseudomonadota; Gammaproteobacteria; Pseudomonadales; Pseudomonadaceae
Description: bacterial SSU rRNA
Rfam family: Bacterial small subunit ribosomal RNA
Source: RNAcentral